GAUGAAGAACGCAGCAAAAUGCGAUAAGUAAUGUGAAUUGCAGAAUUCAGUGAAUCAUCGAAUCUUUGAACGCACAUUGCGCCCGCCAGUAUUCUGGCGGGCAUGCCUGUUCGAGCGUCAUUUCAACCCUCAAGCACAGCUUGGUGUUGGGACUCGCGUUAAUUCGCGUUCCUCAAAUUGAUUGGCGGUCACGUCGAGCUUCCAUAGCGUAGUAGUAAAACCCUCGUUACUGGUAAUCGUCGCGGCCACGCCGUUAAACCCCAACUUCUGAAUGUUGACCUCGGAUCAGGUAGGAAUACCCGCUGAACUUAAGCAUAUCAAUAAGCGAGGA
RNAcentral lists this unclassified non-coding RNA (331 nucleotides) under soil metagenome. Its description in RNAcentral is "partial contains 5.8S ribosomal RNA, internal transcribed spacer 2, and large subunit ribosomal RNA". The stretch from base 1 to 120 matches the Rfam family "5.8S ribosomal RNA", at positions 35 to 154 of the family's 154-position model. The record is from RNAcentral.